Molecule: non-coding RNA, 97 nt
Organism: Triticum aestivum (bread wheat)
Lineage: Eukaryota; Viridiplantae; Streptophyta; Magnoliopsida; Poales; Poaceae
Source: Rfam
AUGGACGUGAGGUCCCUUUCCCAAAUUAUUGACUAUGAUUAUACUGUGUGCAACUGUAAUCUUUAUUAGAGGAUUCCAAGCCAGAAGUAUGAUCCAC